Molecule: ribosomal RNA, 448 nt
Filed under: Donacia semicuprea
Lineage: Eukaryota; Metazoa; Arthropoda; Insecta; Coleoptera; Chrysomelidae
Description: partial 16S ribosomal RNA
Source: RNAcentral
GUCUUAUUGAUUUAUAAUUUUAAGUCUAGCCUGCCCCCUGUAAAAUAAAUGGCCGCAGUAUUUUGACUGUGCUAAGGUAGCAUAAUCAUUAGUUUUUUAAUUGAAAGCUGGAAUGAAUGGUAUUAUGAAAAAAUAACUGUCUCUUUUAUAUAAUUAAAAUUUUAUUUUUAAGUAAAAAAGCUUAAAUUUGGUUAAAAGACGAGAAGACCCUAUAGAAUUUUAUUUAAAUUAAUUUUUAAUUUAUUAGUAAAAAGAAUUUAUUAAUUAAUUUAUAUUUAGUUGGGGUGAUUAGAAAAUUAAGUUAUCUUUUCUUUAUAAAACCAUUAAUAUAUGAUUUUAUGAUUCAUUUUUAUGAUUUAAGAAUAAGUUACCUUAGGGAUAACAGCGUAAUUUUUUUUUAAAGUUCUAAUUAAAAAAAAAGAUUGCGACCUCGAUGUUGGAUUAAAAU